AGAUCGGAGGCUAAAUCCUCCUUAGUGCCA
Molecule: transfer RNA, 30 nt
Filed under: Garra barreimiae
Lineage: Eukaryota; Metazoa; Chordata; Actinopteri; Cypriniformes; Cyprinidae
Description: partial tRNA-Thr
Source: RNAcentral